CCUACGGGAGGCAGCAGUAGGGAAUAUUGCUCAAUGGGGGAAACCCUGAAGCAGCAACGCCGCGUGGAGGAUGAAGGUUUUCGGAUUGUAACCUCCUUUUGUUGGAGAAGUUAAUGACGGUAUCUAACGAAUAAGCACCGGCUAACUCCGUGCCAGCAGCCGCGGUAAUACGGAGGGUGCAAGCGUUACUCGGAAUCACUGGGCGUAAAGGGCGCGUAGGCGGGAUAGCAAGUCAGAUGUGAAAUCCUAUGGCUUAACCAUAGAACUGCAUUUGAAACUGUUAUUCUAGAGUAUGGGAGAGGUAGGUGGAAUUCUUGGUGUAGGGGUAAAAUCCGUAGAGAUCAAGAGGAAUACUCAUUGCGAAGGCGACCUGCUAGAACAUAACUGACGCUGAUGCGCGAAAGCGUGGGGAGCAAACAGGAUUAGAUACCCCGGUAGUC
Molecule: ribosomal RNA, 440 nt
Filed under: uncultured bacterium
Lineage: Bacteria
Description: partial 16S ribosomal RNA
Rfam family: Bacterial small subunit ribosomal RNA
Source: RNAcentral